Paramuricea clavata is the source of this 838-nucleotide non-coding RNA. NCBI's taxonomy places the organism in Eukaryota, Metazoa, Cnidaria, Anthozoa, Malacalcyonacea, Plexauridae. The record is from the annotation of a GenBank genome assembly.
AGCAAUUUAAAACAUUCGCAGUGCGUGUUCUACCAGACCUAAAGAUACUCGGCUUCGACUGGUAUCUUUGUAUCUGAUCAAACACUGCUGUGCAUGUUUUAAAUAGUACAUAAAGUUUCGGCAGAGUAGUAUGCGGGCCAUGUUCAUUAUUUCUCUGUAACUACGUUUUAGAUAACAUGACUCACUCAUUUGGCUCUGUAUAUCUGAAGUUGCAGCAAACGUUGCCUCGCGUGACAUGACCUUAAAGUUUAGUGUAAACACGAUAGAUAAACCAUCCAGACGAAAUAAAAUAUUGCAGGGAAACUGUGAGCAUGGCUCAUCGUUUAACCUGUCAACAUUUUUCAUUAUAUUUCUUUCAAUUUUCAUCCCUUAGUGGUUUUGGGAACAAAUCACGCUUGAUAUUUUCCUGAUAGCUGGUCUAAUGUCGUCGAAAUAUCUUACUGAUUUUUCCGCUCGCAAAAAUUCGUCCAAAUUUGGCCGUCUCUAGCGUAAAUUGGGUCAUUCGCAUUUAAGAUUCAUUUAACAUAUUCACAUUGGCUAAUUAGUAUAGUAAAGGAACAAGAUUAAAUCACAGUAAAUAUUGAAUAGUAGGGGACUAUAAUUAUAUAAUCAUAUAGUGCUAAUAGCACGAUAUUAAUUUUACUUUAAGUUGAUGAUUAUCAUAUACUUGCUUUAUUUUAAUCAACAUUUUUCAAUUAUCAGAAUUGCAUGGUUAAAAACUUCGCAUUGCGAAAUGCAAUCAACGGUUGGUACUUUAUGUAAUCUAAAUUGAAAUGUAGGAACAUGUAAUCCAAAUGAUGUAAUCUUGAUUAAACCAAUUUGUCGAUCAACUGGUGUG